AGAGUUUGAUCCUGGCUCAGAUUGAACGCUGGCGGAAUGCUUUACACAUGCAAGUCGAACGGCAGCACGGGAGCUUGCUCCUGGUGGCGAGUGGCGAACGGGUGAGUAAUGCGUCGGAACGUACCGAGUAAUGGGGGAUAACGCAGCGAAAGUUGUGCUAAUACCGCAUACGCCCUGAGGGGGAAAGUGGGGGAUCGUAAGACCUCACGUUAUUCGAGCGGCCGACGUCUGAUUAGCUUGUUGGUGAGGUAAUGGCUCACCAAGGCGACGAUCAGUAGCGGGUCUGAGAGGAUGAUCCGCCACACUGGGACUGAGACACGGCCCAGACUCCUACGGGAGGCAGCAGUGGGGAAUUUUGGACGAAUGGGGGCAACCCUGAUCCAGCCAUUCCGCGUGAGUGAAGAAGGCCUUCGGGUUGUAAAGCUUCUUUCAGUUGGAAACGGAAACGGUACGCUUCUAAACAUAAGCGUGCGAAAUGUCGGACCGACAGAA
RNAcentral lists this ribosomal RNA (492 nucleotides) under uncultured bacterium. RNAcentral describes it as "bacterial SSU rRNA". It matches the Rfam family "Bacterial small subunit ribosomal RNA", at positions 8 to 486 of the family's 1533-position model. The record is from RNAcentral.